Molecule: non-coding RNA, 1606 nt
Organism: Paramuricea clavata
Lineage: Eukaryota; Metazoa; Cnidaria; Anthozoa; Malacalcyonacea; Plexauridae
Source: the annotation of a GenBank genome assembly
CACGUCUUGAACAAUUUUAAUUUAAUUAAGACAUUACGUAAUUUUGCUGAGUCAUAACUUUACUAUAUUUAUCGUUUACGUGGUAUCUAAAAAUAGUAUGAUGUCAUGUUUUAUUAAUAUCUUUCGGAGAGUAUAUAAGCAGCGAAAGCUUAAGCUAGAUUCAUUCAUUCAUUCAUUCAUUCAUUCAUUCAUUCAUUCAUUCAAAUAUUCUAUUAAGAGAUAGUUAAAGAUAAUAAAUUGAUAUUGUUGAGUUAAUUGUUGUUGUUGAAGAACUUUGAAGACUAAGAAGAAGUUAUUCCAAAUACGAGAAAGCCUCCUUGGCCAGCGCGUGUGGCUGUGUCUGGUCAAGGAGGGCAACGAGCGUAAACGAUGAAGAUGCAGACACACAUUUUUGUUCGUUCUCGCCCGCGAACGUAACAAUUGGGGGCUCAGGCGGGAAAUCACUCUCUCGGAUAAGAGCAGUUGUUUUGUUGUCAGUCUGAUGAUUGUUCUUUUGGUGUUAUAUUAUUGAUGGAUCUGUUUCCAGUUUUAACGUCAUACAGAUGAAAUUGUCGACUUAGCCAGAGGCUGAAGUACAAAAGUGCUACGCUGGAGGUUCACUACGUCUUCGUCAAAAGGUUUCUGCUAAGAUCGUGCCUAACGUCUACUCAGUGAUGCCUAACAGUGGGGAAAGAUUUUGUGAUUAUUGACCACAUGUUAGUGGUUUGAUACAGUGGUUUUUACACUGGUUUGAUACAGUGGUUUGUUGCCCUGUUUUAUUACAAAGUUGUAAUAGUUUGAUAAAUCUCCCGUAAGUUAAAGUAAUAAUUAUUAUUAAAGUAUAAAAUGUUGUUAAAAUUUAACGAUUAAAAAGGGAGUUUGUAAUUUAUUUAGAAGAUGUAGUUCUUCUGUUGUUGAAUCUUCCCUAUUCUGUUAUACUGUUGCUAGAGUUUAAGGACGCUAUUCUUGUUGUAUUGAGUUUUCUCAAUUUUCAUUCGUUAUAGAAUAUUUUAAAGUAUAAUUAUAACAUUUAAAGAAUAAUUAUUUGAUGGACAUAAUGGAAGUUACGAACAGUUAGUUGACGAAAGUUCUAACAAACUUUCUUUUUUCAAGAGGGGGAGUGUGACGUGAAGUCAGUCACGUCUUGAACAAUUUUAAUUUAAUUAAGACAUUACGUAAUUUUGCUAAGUCAUAACUUUACUAUAUUUAUCGUUUACGUGGUAUCUAAAAAUAGUAUGAUGUCAUGUUUUAUUAAUAUCUUUCGGAGAGUAUAUAAGCAGCGAAAGCUUAAGCUAGUUUCAUUCAUUCAUUCAAAUAUUCUAUUAAGAGAUAGUUAAAGAUAAUAAAUUGAUAUUGUUGAAUUAAUUGUUGUUGUUGAAGAACUUUCAAGACUAAGAAGAAGUUAUUCCAAAUACGAGAAAGCCUCCUUGGCCAGCGCGUGUGGCUGUGUCUGGUCAAGGAGGGCAACGAGCGUAAACGAUGAAGAUGCAGACACACAUUUUUGUUCGUUCUCGCCCGCGAACGUAACACCGAUCAAUAAGAAAUUUAGGCAAUCCGUAUAAUAAAGAAUUACAAUUAUCCAGUUUCGAUGUAAUAAAGGCAUAAACUAAAGUUUGGAUAUCUGACG